CAAGCAAUUCUCCUGCCUCGGCCUCCCGAGUAGCUGGGACUACAGGCGCUCCCCACUACGCCCAGACUAAUUUUGGUAUUUUUAGUAGAGACAGGGUUUCACUGUGUUGGCCAGGCUGGUCUCGAACUCCUGACCUCAGGUGAUCCGCCCGUCGCGGCCUCCGGGAUUACAGGCGUGAGCCACCGCGCCCGGCCUCCGCGCUCCAUUCCUGUGGGUCCAGUUUCCACCUCCUCGAAACCCAGCAGGGUCCUCCCCAGCCCUGAAGGGCUAGACGAGCCCGGAGGCGGACUGCGGUGGCGUGGCGUGGCGUGGGCGGAGCUUGGAGCCGGAGGCGGGGUGUGGGCGGGGCUGAGAGGCGGGGUGCGGCCUCGGCGUGGGCGGGGCCUGUGUGUGGCGGGCGCGCUGCGGAAACAAGCCUGCAGUCCCGCGGGCCUGGUCCCAGGCUGCUUGGGUUGUGCGGGUACCUGGUCCCCCAGGGCGGAGCCGCAGCGCUCCUGGUCUGCGGGACGUGGCCCUGUAGCUGGAACCUGGCGCAACUCAGAGAGCUGUCCUCGCAGAGGCGCUGGUCCCAGACCUGCGGCUCCUACCCCGGCCGGCGCUGGCUGGAGGGACACCUGGCCUGGGUGGAGCCCACUCCUCAGCACCCACCUCACUUCUGGCAGUAUUCUGCAGACCCCAGCCCUGUGCCUGUGCUCCUGCACAGCUGGAGAUAAGGAGUGGGCCCUGGAAGAUGCUCAGUCAGGCCCUGCUCCAGAUUUUAGUUUCGCGGAUAAGCACCACUAUGUGUCUCUGCUCUUUUUGUUUUGCUGUAAAGACACAUUGAUAGGUUAAAAUUGUUGUUUGUGCACAACACGGAUCAUGUAGCGUCUUCACAUUAACCCCUAGUUACACUCUCUAAGUUGUCUAUUUUCUUCCCCCAAUAUUUUUAUUGUUAUAAAAAUACACCGAAUAUAAAAACCUUAACCAGGCCAGCCGCAGUGGUUCACACCUGUAAUCCCAGCACUUUGGGAGGCCAAGACGGGUGGAUCACUUGAGGUCAGGAGUUUGAGACCAGCCUAACCAACAUGGCGAAACCCCGUCUCUACUAAAAAUACAAAAGUUAGCGGCGCAUAGUGGCGCCUG
Molecule: long non-coding RNA, 1122 nt
Filed under: Homo sapiens (human)
Lineage: Eukaryota; Metazoa; Chordata; Mammalia; Primates; Hominidae
Description: HSALNT0099997
Source: RNAcentral